GACGAACGCUGGCGGCGUGCUUAACACAUGCAAGUCGAACGGAAAGGCCCUUCGGGGUACUCGAGUGGCGAACGGGUGAGUAACACGUGGGUGAUCUGCCCUGCACUUUGGGAUAAGCCUGGGAAACUGGGUCUAAUACCGAAUAUGAUCGUCGGCUUCAUGGCCGGUGGUGGAAAGCUUUUGCGGUGUGGGAUGGGCCCGCGGCCUAUCAGCUUGUUGGUGGGGUAAUGGCCUACCAAGGCGACGACGGGUAGCCGGCCUGAGAGGGUGACCGGCCACACUGGGACUGAGAUACGGCCCAGACUCCUACGGGAGGCAGCAGUGGGGAAUAUUGCACAAUGGGCGCAAGCCUGAUGCAGCGACGCCGCGUGAGGGAUGACGGCCUUCGGGUUGUAAACCUCUUUCAGCAGGGACGAAGCGCAAGUGACGGUACCUGUAGAAGAAGGACCGGCCAACUACGUGCCAGCAGCCGCGGUAAUACGUAGGGUCCGAGCGUUGUCCGGAAUUACUGGGCGUAAAGAGCUCGUAGGUGGUUUGUCGCGUUGUUCGUGAAAACUCACAGCUCAACUGUGGGCGUGCGGGCGAUACGGGCAGACUUGAGUACUGCAGGGGAGACUGGAAUUCCUGGUGUAGCGGUGGAAUGCGCAGAUAUCAGGAGGAACACCGGUGGCGAAGGCGGGUCUCUGGGCAGUAACUGACGCUGAGGAGCGAAAGCGUGGGGAGCGAACAGGAUUAGAUACCCUGGUAGUCCACGCCGUAAACGGUGGGUACUAGGUGUGGGUUUCCUUCCUUGGGAUCCGUGCCGUAGCUAACGCAUUAAGUACCCCGCCUGGGGAGUACGGCCGCAAGGCUAAAACUCAAAGAAAUUGACGGGGGCCCGCACAAGCGGCGGAGCAUGUGGAUUAAUUCGAUGCAACGCGAAGAACCUUACCUGGGUUUGACAUGCACAGGACGCCGGCAGAGAUGUCGGUUCCCUUGUGGCCUGUGUGCAGGUGGUGCAUGGCUGUCGUCAGCUCGUGUCGUGAGAUGUUGGGUUAAGUCCCGCAACGAGCGCAACCCUUGUCUCAUGUUGCCAGCGGGUAAUGCCGGGGACUCGUGAGAGACUGCCGGGGUCAACUCGGAGGAAGGUGGGGAUGACGUCAAGUCAUCAUGCCCCUUAUGUCCAGGGCUUCACACAUGCUACAAUGGCCGGUACAAAGGGCUGCGAUGCCGUGAGGUGGAGCGAAUCCUUUCAAAGCCGGUCUCAGUUCGGAUCGGGGUCUGCAACUCGACCCCGUGAAGUCGGAGUCGCUAGUAAUCGCAGAUCAGCAACGCUGCGGUGAAUACGUUCCCGGGCCU
Molecule: ribosomal RNA, 1338 nt
Filed under: uncultured bacterium
Lineage: Bacteria
Description: bacterial SSU rRNA
Rfam family: Bacterial small subunit ribosomal RNA
Source: RNAcentral